CAAAAACAUGUCCUUUUGUUUUUUAUUUAAGGUCUGACCUGCCCAAUGAGGAAUUGAAUGGCCGCAGUAUUUUAACUGUGCUAAGGUAGCAUAAUCAUUUGUCUUUUAAUUGAGGGCUGGAAUGAAAGGUUGGACGAAAUAUUAGCUUUCUUUGUCUUAAUUUGAAGAACUUAAUUUUUGAGUUAAAAAGCUUAAAUAUUUUUGUUGGACGAGAAGACCCUAUAGAUCUUUAUAAUUUUAUGUUUUAGUAAUUUAGAUUAUUAUUUACUUAAAGCAAAGUAAUUAUUUUGUUGGGGUGACUGUAGAAUUAAAAUAACUUCUACUUAUUUGUUUCAUUUAUUAAUGUUUUUAUGAUCCAUAUUUUAUGAUUAUAAGAUUAAGUUACCUUAGGGAUAACAGCGUAAUUUUCUCGGAGAGUUCAUAUUGAUGAGAGAGUUUGCGACCUCGAUGUUGGAUUAAAAUAAGCUAUGGAUGCAGAAGUCUAUAUACUAGGUCUGUUCGACCUUUAAAUUUUUACAUGAUCUGAGUUCA
This 531-nucleotide ribosomal RNA is filed under the name Panstrongylus megistus. RNAcentral's name for it is "partial 16S ribosomal RNA". It matches the Rfam family "Bacterial large subunit ribosomal RNA", at positions 1808 to 2613 of the family's 2925-position model. The record is from RNAcentral. Lineage: Eukaryota; Metazoa; Arthropoda; Insecta; Hemiptera; Reduviidae.